RNAcentral lists this transfer RNA (82 nucleotides) under Deltaproteobacteria bacterium GWC2_65_14. RNAcentral describes it as "tRNA-Leu". It matches the Rfam family "tRNA". From Rfam's summary of the family: Transfer RNA (tRNA) molecules are approximately 80 nucleotides in length. Their secondary structure includes four short double-helical elements and three loops (D, anti-codon, and T loops). Further hydrogen bonds mediate the characteristic L-shaped molecular structure. tRNAs have two regions of fundamental functional importance: the anti-codon, which is responsible for specific mRNA codon recognition, and the 3' end, to which the tRNAs corresponding amino acid is attached (by aminoacyl-tRNA synthetases). tRNAs cope with the degeneracy of the genetic code in two manners: having more than one tRNA (with a specific anti-codon) for a particular amino acid; and 'wobble' base-pairing, i.e. permitting non-standard base-pairing at the 3rd anti-codon position. RNAcentral also lists the same sequence under 5 other names. Lineage: Bacteria; Deltaproteobacteria. The record is from RNAcentral.
GCGAGAGUGGCGGAAUGGCAGACGCGCCGGAUUUAGGAUCCGGUGGGCAACCGUGAGGGUUCAAAUCCCUCCUCUCGCACCA